RNAcentral lists this ribosomal RNA (628 nucleotides) under uncultured Azospira sp. RNAcentral describes it as "bacterial SSU rRNA". It matches the Rfam family "Bacterial small subunit ribosomal RNA", at positions 17 to 638 of the family's 1533-position model. The record is from RNAcentral. Lineage: Bacteria; Pseudomonadati; Pseudomonadota; Betaproteobacteria; Rhodocyclales; Rhodocyclaceae.
UCCUGGCUCAGAUUGAACGCUGGCGGCAUGCCUUACACAUGCAAGUCGAACGGCAGCACGGGAGCUUGCUCCUGGUGGCGAGUGGCGAACGGGUGAGUAAUACAUCGGAACGUACCCAGGAGUGGGGGAUAACGUAGCGAAAGUUACGCUAAUACCGCAUAUUCUGUGAGCAGGAAAGCGGGGGAUCGCAAGACCUCGCGCUCUUGGAGCGGCCGAUGUCGGAUUAGCUAGUUGGUGAGGUAAAAGCUCACCAAGGCGACGAUCCGUAGCAGGUCUGAGAGGAUGAUCUGCCACACUGGGACUGAGACACGGCCCAGACUCCUACGGGAGGCAGCAGUGGGGAAUUUUGGACAAUGGGGGCAACCCUGAUCCAGCCAUGCCGCGUGAGUGAAGAAGGCCUUCGGGUUGUAAAGCUCUUUCGGCGGGGAAGAAAUGGCAACGGCUAAUAUCCGUUGUUGAUGACGGUACCCGCAUAAGAAGCACCGGCUAACUACGUGCCAGCAGCCGCGGUAAUACGUAGGGUGCGAGCGUUAAUCGGAAUUACUGGGCGUAAAGCGUGCGCAGGCGGUUUCGUAAGACAGACGUGAAAUCCCCGGGCUCAACCUGGGAACUGCGUUUGUGACUGCGA